This 520-nucleotide ribosomal RNA is filed under the name uncultured bacterium. RNAcentral's name for it is "bacterial SSU rRNA". It matches the Rfam family "Bacterial small subunit ribosomal RNA", at positions 992 to 1509 of the family's 1533-position model. The record is from RNAcentral.
UUAUACUAUUUGAAAAAUAGGGUCGGUUCGGCCGGAUUUUCACACAGGUGUUGCAUGGCUGUCGUCAGCUCGUGUCGUGAGAUUGUUGGGUUAAGUCCCGCAACGAGCGUAACCCUCAUCCUUAGUUGCCAUCAGGUAAUGCUGAGCACUUUAAGGAAACUGCUAGUGAUAAACUGGAGGAAGGUGGGGAUGAUGUCAAGUCAUCAUGGCCCUUAUGGAGUGGGCUACACACGUGCUACAAUGGUGGCUACAAUGGGCUGCAAAGUCGCGAGGCCAAGCUAAUCCCUUAAAAGCCAUCUCAGUUCGGAUUGUACUCUGCAACUCGAGUGCAUGAAGUUGGAAUCGCUAGUAAUCGUGGAUCAGCAUGCCACGGUGAAUACGUUCUCGGGUCUUGUACACACUGCCCGUCACGCCAUGGGAAUUGGUUUCACUCGAAGCUAAUGACCUAACCGCAAGGAGGGAGUUAUUUAAAGUGGGAUCAGUGACUGGGGUGAAGUCGUAACAAGGUAGGCGUACUACA